GGGGAUAUAGCUCAAUUGGUAGAGUGCUUGCCUCACAUGCACAAGGUCCUGGGUUCAAUCCCCAGGACCACCA
This 73-nucleotide transfer RNA is filed under the name Ictidomys tridecemlineatus (thirteen-lined ground squirrel). Its description in RNAcentral is "Spermophilus tridecemlineatus (thirteen-lined ground squirrel) tRNA". It matches the Rfam family "tRNA". Rfam says of the family: Transfer RNA (tRNA) molecules are approximately 80 nucleotides in length. Their secondary structure includes four short double-helical elements and three loops (D, anti-codon, and T loops). Lineage: Eukaryota; Metazoa; Chordata; Mammalia; Rodentia; Sciuridae. The record is from Rfam by way of RNAcentral.